Molecule: ribosomal RNA, 441 nt
Filed under: uncultured bacterium
Lineage: Bacteria
Description: partial 16S ribosomal RNA
Rfam family: Bacterial small subunit ribosomal RNA
Source: RNAcentral
CCUACGGUCGGCAGCAGUGGGGAAUAUUGCACAAUGGGGGAAACCCUGAUGCAGCGACGCCGCGUGAGUGAAGAAGUAUUUCGGUAUGUAAAGCUCUAUCAGCAGGAACGAGACAAGACGGUACCUGACUAAGAAGCCCCGGCUAACUACGUGCCAGCAGCCGCGGUAAUACGUAGGGGGCAAGGGUUAUCCGGAAUCACUGGGGGUAAAGGGAGCGUAAACGGCUGAGCAAGCCUGGAGUGAAAGGCGGGGGCCCAACCCCCGGACUGCUUUGGGAACUGUACGGCUGGAGUGCAGGAGAGGUAAGUGGAAUUCCUAGUGUAGCGGUGAAAUGCGUAGAUAUUAGGAGGAACACCAGUGGCGAAGGCGGCUUACUGGACUGUAACUGACGUUGAGGCUCGAAAGCGUGGGGAGCAAACAGGAUUAGAUACCCUGGUAGUC